RNAcentral lists this long non-coding RNA (1421 nucleotides) under Homo sapiens (human). Its description in RNAcentral is "HSALNT0395801". Lineage: Eukaryota; Metazoa; Chordata; Mammalia; Primates; Hominidae. The record is from RNAcentral.
AAAGAAAAAAAAAAAAAAAGAAAGAAAAAUGCCUAAGGACACAGCGCAUGAAGGAAGGGUCGAGAUUGGAACCCAGGACCGUCAGAGUUCAUACCUUGUGCUGAUUCUCCAUCCGGGACGCCAGACACAUGGAUCCCUUUCCCCUGCUUUCUGGUGUUGUUUUGGCACAAGCUCUCCCAUCCCUGGGGCAGGUGGCCAUCCUGCCUCCGCAUCCUGAGCGUCUGUUUCCCUCGGGGAUCUGCCAGACUCAGCCCCCUAACCCCAAGAAAAUCACUCACAAAAAUCAUCUGAGCUAAAUGCUUGCUUUGAAAGCUCAGACCUGGGGAUUGUAACUUUAGCCUCAUACCUUCUAAUGAAGGCCAUCUUAAAGCUCUACCAGUUUCAGCUGAGGGCCGAUCCAGCAGAUCCCAGUUGUUCCUAAAGACCUGGUUGCUAGCUCCUCUGAGACUGGGGUGGGGUGGGUGUCCCAAGGUGAUGACCAGGAGAAAAGAGAGCGUCUUCCUCCCAGUCACAUCCCAAGAUUCGUGACCGAGCGCGGUGGCUCACGCCUGUAAUUCCAGCACUUUGGGAGACCGAGGCAGGUGGAUCACGAGGUCAGGAGUUCGAGACCAGCCUGGUCAACAUGGUGAAACCCUAUCUAUUCUAAAAAUACAAAAAAUUAGCCAGGCACGGUGGCAGGCACCUGUAAUCCCAGCUACUUGGGAGGCUGAGGAAGGAGAAUCGCUUGAACCCGGGAGAUGGAGGUUGCAGUGAGCCGAGAUUGCACCACUGCACUCCAGCCUGGGCAACAGAGCAAGACUCUGUCUCAAAACAAAACAAAACAAACAAACAAACAAACAAACAAAAAACUAAAAACAUCAAGAUACGCUCUGAUUGGACCAGCCUGGGUCCCAUGUUCUUCCAUGACCCAAUCCUAGUAGCCCAGGAGUGGGAUGUGCCAAUUGGCUUGGCCUGAGGAGGGCCCCCAGAGGGUCUGUAAUCCAUGUGUAACUGGAGUUGCUGUAAAAUGGGGCCAUCUGGCUGGGUGCGGUGGCUCACGCCUGUAAUCCCAACACUUUGGGAGGCCGAGGCGGGCGGAUCACGAGGUCAGGAGUUCAAGACCAUCCUGGCCAACAUGGCGAAAUCCCGUCUCUACUAAAAAUAGAAAAAUUAGCCACGUGUGGUGGCGGGUGCCUGUAGUCCCAGCUACUAGGGAGGCUGAGGUGGGAGAAUCACCUGAACCCAAGAAGUCGAGGCUGGAGUGAGCAGAGAUCACACCACUGCACUCCAACUUGGGUGACAGAGCAAGACUCUGUCUCCAAAAAAAAAUAAAAUAAAAUAACAGAGCCUGCUUAAGGGUGGUGGUGAGGAGGAGGGAGAGGAGGGUCGGGAGCGGUGGCUCACGCCUGUAAUCCUAGCACUUUGGAAGGCCGAGGUGUGUG